RNAcentral lists this ribosomal RNA (404 nucleotides) under uncultured soil bacterium. Its description in RNAcentral is "bacterial SSU rRNA". It matches the Rfam family "Bacterial small subunit ribosomal RNA", at positions 26 to 435 of the family's 1533-position model. The record is from RNAcentral.
AGGACGAACGCUGGCGGCGUGCUUAACACAUGCAAGUCGAGCGGUAAGGCCUUUCGGGGUACACGAGCGGCGAACGGGUGAGUAACACGUGGGUGAUCUGCCCUGCACUUCGGGAUAAGCCUGGGAAACUGGGUCUAAUACCGGAUAUGACCUCCUAUCGCAUGGUGGGUGGUGGAAAGAUUUAUCGGUGCAGGAUUGGGACCCGCGGCCUAUCAGUCUUGGUUGGUGGGGUAAUGGACCUAACCAAGGCGACGACGGGUAGCCGACCUGAGAGGGUGACCGGCCACACUGGGACUGAGACACGGCCCCAGACUCCUACGGGAGGCAGGCAGGUGGGAAUAUGCACAAUGGGCGAAAGCUGAUGCAGCGACGCGCGUGAGGAUGACGGCCUGGUUGUAACUCUU